GGGUUGUGAGGUUAAGCGACUAAGCGUACACGGUGGAUGCCCUGGCAGUCAGAGGCGAUGAAGGACGUGCUAAUCUGCGAAAAGCGUCGGUAAGGUGAUAUGAACCGUUAUAACCGGCGAUGUCCGAAUGGGGAAACCCAGUGCAAUUCGUUGCACUAUCGUUAACUGAAUACAUAGGUUAACGAGGCGAACCGGGGGAACUGAAACAUCUAAGUACCCCGAGGAAAAGAAAUCAACCGAGAUUCCCCCAGUAGCGGCGAGCGAACGGGGAGCAGCCCAGAGUCUGAAUCAGCUUGUGUGUUAGUGGAACGGUCUGGAAAGUCCGACGGUACAGGGUGAUAGUCCCGUACACCAAAAUGCACAGGCUGUGAACUCGAAGAGUAGGGCGGGACACGUGGUAUCCUGUCUGAAUAUGGGGGGACCAUCCUCCAAGGCUAAAUACUCCUGACUGACCGAUAGUGAACCAGUACCGUGAGGGAAAGGCGAAAAGAACCCCGGCGAGGGGAGUGAAAAAGAACCUGAAACCGUGUACGUACAAGCAGUGGGAGCACCUUCGGGUGUGACUGCGUACCUUUUGUAUAAUGGGUCAGCGACUUAUAUUCUGUAGCAAGGUUAACCGUAUAGGGGAGCCGCAGGGAAACCGAGUCUUAACUGGGCGUUAAGUUGCAGGGUAUAGACCCGAAACCCGGUGAUCUAGCCAUGGGCAGGUUGAAGGUUGGGUAACACUAACUGGAGGACCGAACCGACUAAUGUUGAAAAAUUAGCGGAUGACUUGUGGCUGGGGGUGAAAGGCCAAUCAAACCGGGAGAUAGCUGGUUCUCCCCGAAAGCUAUUUAGGUAGCGCCUCGUGAAUUCAUCUUCGGGGGUAGAGCACUGUUUCGGCUAGGGGGUCAUCCCGACUUACCAACCCGAUGCAAACUACGAAUACCGAAGAAUGUUAUCACGGGAGACACACGGCGGGUGCUAACGUCCGUCGUGAAGAGGGAAACAACCCAGACCGCCAGCUAAGGUCCCAAAGUCAUGGUUAAGUGGGAAACGAUGUGGGAAGGCACAGACAGCCAGGAUGUUGGCUUAGAAGCAGCCAUCAUUUAAAGAAAGCGUAAUAGCUCACUGGUCGAGUCGGCCUGCGCGGAAGAUGUAACGGGGCUAAACCAUGCACCGAAGCUGCGGCAGCGACACUAUGUGUUGUUGGGUAGGGGAGCGUUCUGUAAGCCUGCGAAGGUGACCUGUGAGGGUUGCUGGAGGUAUCAGAAGUGCGAAUGCUGACAUAAGUAACGAUAAAGCGGGUGAAAAGCCCGCUCGCCGGAAGACCAAGGGUUCCUGUCCAACGUUAAUCGGGGCAGGGUGAGUCGACCCCUAAGGCGAGGCCGAAAGGCGUAGUCGAUGGGAAACAGGUUAAUAUUCCUGUACUUGGUGUUACUGCGAAGGGGGACGGAGAAGGCUAUGUUAGCCGGGCGACGGUUGUCCCGGUUUAAGCAUGUAGGCUGGUUAUCCAGGCAAAUCCGGAUAAUCAAGGCUGAGGUGUGAUGACGAGGCACUACGGUGCUGAAGUAACAAAUGCCCUGCUUCCAGGAAAAGCCUCUAAGCAUCAGGUAACAUUAAAUCGUACCCCAAACCGACACAGGUGGUCAGGUAGAGAAUACCAAGGCGCUUGAGAGAACUCGGGUGAAGGAACUAGGCAAAAUGGUGCCGUAACUUCGGGAGAAGGCACGCUGGUGUGUAGGUGAAGUCCCUGCGGAUGGAGCUGAGACCAGUCGAAGAUACCAGCUGGCUGCAACUGUUUAUUAAAAACACAGCACUGUGCAAACACGAAAGUGGACGUAUACGGUGUGACGCCUGCCCGGUGCCGGAAGGUUAAUUGAUGGGGUUAUCCGUAAGGAGAAGCUCUUGAUCGAAGCCCCGGUAAACGGCGGCCGUAACUAUAACGGUCCUAAGGUAGCGAAAUUCCUUGUCGGGUAAGUUCCGACCUGCACGAAUGGCGUAAUGAUGGCCAGGCUGUCUCCACCCGAGACUCAGUGAAAUUGAACUCGCUGUGAAGAUGCAGUGUACCCGCGGCAAGACGGAAAGACCCCGUGAACCUUUACUAUAGCUUGACACUGAACAUUGAGCCUUGAUGUGUAGGAUAGGUGGGAGGCUUUGAAGCGUGGACGCCAGUCUGCGUGGAGCCAACCUUGAAAUACCACCCUUUAAUGUUUGAUGUUCUAACGUUGGCCCCUGACCGGGGUUGCGGACAGUGUCUGGUGGGUAGUUUGACUGGGGCGGUCUCCUCCCAAAGCGUAACGGAGGAGCACGAAGGUUAGCUAAUCCUGGUCGGACAUCAGGAGGUUAGUGCAAUGGCAUAAGCUAGCUUGACUGCGAGCGUGACGGCGCGAGCAGGUGCGAAAGCAGGUCAUAGUGAUCCGGUGGUUCUGAAUGGAAGGGCCAUCGCUCAACGGAUAAAAGGUACUCCGGGGAUAACAGGCUGAUACCGCCCAAGAGUUCAUAUCGACGGCGGUGUUUGGCACCUCGAUGUCGGCUCAUCACAUCCUGGGGCUGAAGUAGGUCCCAAGGGUAUGGCUGUUCGCCAUUUAAAGUGGUACGCGAGCUGGGUUUAGAACGUCGUGAGACAGUUCGGUCCCUAUCUGCCGUGGGCGCUGGAGAAUUGAGGGGGGCUGCUCCUAGUACGAGAGGACCGGAGUGGACGCAUCACUGGUGUUCGGGUUGUCAUGCCAAUGGCACUGCCCGGUAGCUAAAUGCGGAAGAGAUAAGUGCUGAAAGCAUCUAAGCACGAAACUUGCCCCGAGAUGAGUUCUCCCUGAGACUUUAAGUCUCCUGAAGGAACGUUGAAGACGACGACGUUGAUAGGCCGGGUGUGUAAGCGCAGCGAUGCGUUGAGCUAACCGGUACUAAUGAACCGUGAGGCUUAACCUUACAACGCCGAAG
RNAcentral lists this ribosomal RNA (2922 nucleotides) under Klebsiella pneumoniae. RNAcentral describes it as "bacterial LSU rRNA". It matches the Rfam family "Bacterial large subunit ribosomal RNA". The record is from RNAcentral. Lineage: Bacteria; Pseudomonadati; Pseudomonadota; Gammaproteobacteria; Enterobacterales; Enterobacteriaceae.